Molecule: ribosomal RNA, 402 nt
Filed under: uncultured prokaryote
Description: bacterial SSU rRNA
Rfam family: Bacterial small subunit ribosomal RNA
Source: RNAcentral
UGGGGAAUAUUGGACAAUGGGCGAAAGCCUGAUCCAGCAAUGCCGCGUGAGUGAAGAAGGCCUUCGGGUUGUAAAGCUCUUUUACCCGGGAAGAUAAUGACUGUACCGGGAGAAUAAGCUCCGGCUAACUCCGUGCCAGCAGCCGCGGUAAUACGGAGGGAGCUAGCGUUGUUCGGAAUUACUGGGCGUAAAGCGUACGUAGGCGGCUUUGUAAGUCAGAGGUGAAAGCCCACGACUCAAUCGUGGAACUGCCUUUGAGACUGCUUCGCUUGAAGAUGGGAGAGGUUAGUGGAAUUCCGAGUGUAGAGGUGAAAUUCGUAGAUAUUAGGAGGAACACCAGUUGCGAAGGCGGCUCUCUGGACUGUAACUGACACUGAGGCACGAAAGCGUGGGGAGCAAACA